GGCGGGUCUCCUCGCAUUGUGGAGCGGUGAAUCUGGUCAGGUCCGGAAGGAAGCAGCCACAGUCGCUUUUCAUAAGUGCCGGGGUAAGGCUCGCCACU
This 98-nucleotide signal recognition particle RNA is filed under the name Rhodocyclus gracilis. Its description in RNAcentral is "signal recognition particle sRNA small type". It matches the Rfam family "Bacterial small signal recognition particle RNA". Rfam says of the family: The signal recognition particle (SRP) is a universally conserved ribonucleoprotein involved in the co-translational targeting of proteins to membranes. Archaeal SRP consists of a 7S RNA and homologues of the eukaryotic SRP19 and SRP54 proteins. The record is from RNAcentral. Lineage: Bacteria; Pseudomonadati; Pseudomonadota; Betaproteobacteria; Rhodocyclales; Rhodocyclaceae.